Molecule: long non-coding RNA, 1604 nt
Organism: Triplophysa dalaica
Lineage: Eukaryota; Metazoa; Chordata; Actinopteri; Cypriniformes; Nemacheilidae
Exons: 3
Source: RefSeq, a predicted model, not a curated record
ACAAAUACUUUUUAUCAUACAGCCUACAAAUAAAACGGAUAUGUGACCUGGUGUGACAUUAAUUGAUGAAUAUUACUAAUGUUGUUUGAAGAUUGUGCCCGUGAGCCAGCGCCUCUGAUAAAAGCUGCAUGAUUAAGAAAAACACAAAGCUGUCUGUUAUUAAACACAAACGAACGAAAUAAAUGCUCUUCUGUUCAAAUAUAAAUGCGUCCAUGACGCGAUAUGUUUUUAAACUACUUCGUCUGAAAGAGCUGAUGAGUCAGUUUUAAAUCUGAAAGAGUUCGUGGCGCGCAUCAGAAUCAGACUUCACUACUUUGACUGACCAAUAUUAUUCCGCUUGUUAAAGUAGUUCUGCUGCGUUCAGUGCUUUGUCACGCAUUUAAUUUCAUAAUUUAGUACGAUAACAUCAUAGAAUACAUUCUUUCUUUAAGUAGCCUACGCGCAUAUUUAAAUGACAGCUAUGAAGAUUUUAUAUUUUUGAAAUGUAAGAAGGAUACACCCUCACAAAGCACACAGUGGAGCAGCUGCGCAGUGCGCGUGACCGUGACAGGACCUCACCUCAGAAUUACCGCCAAUUUUUGGAUUAGAGGCGAAGCAGAAAAGUUGCGUGAGCUGCCAAAAUCAAGAUCAGUGUGAAAAGGUCAGGCUCACAAUGUGAAGAUGUCUGCAAGUUACUCUUUUUAAAGCUGUGGUGUUUCUGUAAAGACCUUAAAAGGUAAUGUACAACAUCAAGGGCUCCACAGAAAUGAGGCACAUUACCUAUAUCCAUGUUGCAUAGCAUUGCCUGAUGAAGUGGACUCUACUGGACUUCCAAGUACACCCUGCAUAAUUGUGUGUUGUAUGUUUAAAAAUGACAAAGUGAAGCUAUAUUUAAUAUUUGUUGGUUUUCCUUUUCUAUUUUAUCACAGUGUUAUAGAUCCCUUUUUUCUUCAUGUUACAAUAGGAUGUUCUCCUUUGACUGCCGAGUAAUUCGUUGUCUGUGGACCAGGUCAUUGUUAACAGCCACAUCACCAUGUUCAGUGAUGCUAUCAGGUUGAUGUUGGCCUCAUACUACUGCCUGAACAUUUCCUAUCCAGAUGACCAAGGAGCAACAUUGGAAUUUGUGGAGAGAUGCCUUUUCAAGAUAAACCCAGAGAAGGGAUCCAAAAUUCUAAAGAGAACAUCAAGAAACCAAAAGGCGGUCAGUCCAAAGGUUAUUUCUCUGUUUAGUAAAAUGUGCAGACUAUGAAUGGAUGGAGUAAUAAUACUCACCCAUUAUUCUCUUAAAAUUAUUGGCUGUGUUACUGACUUGAACUACAUUUGGUUCUGUUGUUAAAAAUUUCCCUUUUUCAUUCAUGUAGUUGUAUGCAAGUUUCCAACAUUUGUAAUUAAGACAGAAAAGUUUGCGAUCCAUGUUAUUUUUGUCCUCUGAUGAGUGUAUUUUAAUAGUUGAGCAUCAGUUUUAUUGCAUGAAUUGUAUAAACCUGUCCAUGAUUUUGAUCUCUUGUACUGCUUCGUUGUUUUACUUAUGUAAUCAGUGAGAUUUUGGUGAGUUGUAGCUUUUACAGACAAGUUUGACAUUAUUGUUAUUAUUCUCCUGCAAGAAAUAAAAGCGAGUCUGUUUA